Anastrepha ludens (Mexican fruit fly) is the source of this 503-nucleotide long non-coding RNA. RefSeq lists it as uncharacterized. The transcript is spliced from 3 exons. NCBI's taxonomy places the organism in Eukaryota, Metazoa, Arthropoda, Insecta, Diptera, Tephritidae. The record is from RefSeq and is a predicted model, not a curated record.
AAUUAUAUAUAUAUACUCGUAUAUAUAAUCAAAUACCAUUAAAAAUACAUUUGUAAUAAAGCCUGAGAUGCUGUGGUCAUAGAUCCAUAUGAGGAAAACAGCGAAAUGCAUAAUUGCGGAAUGCUAAUCACGGAGGAAUAUGAAAAACGAAUGAGUGGCAGCGGAAGAGAUACAAGACAUAUAAAUUAUAGGAAAUACAGAUGUUUAAAACCAGGUGCUUCAAUGACCGAAUUUGGUAAAAUUGUCUGAGUCUUCCAUAAUUGGAAACCUGUGCAAUGUUUGGUUGCAAUAGUUGAGAUCUUUCCAAUAGCAGAACCGCGUAAAACUUAAGUACUUUACUGCUAUCAAUCAAUUGGUGAAGGCUCCUGAGAAAUGCAUGUAUUAGGCCUGUUACAAUGGGUAUGUUGUGUCCGCUGCCGUAACAUUUUGACUAACGUGACAUGGAAGAGGUGCCGGAAUGCCAAAAUGAAAAUUUUGCCGCAUAUAAACAAAACAAUAUUAAA